UACGAAGGACCCGAGCGUUAUCCGGAUUUAUUGGGUUUAAAGGGUGCGUAGGCGGAUUAGUAAGUCAGUGGUGAAAGCCCGUCGCUUAACGGCGGAACUGCCAUUGAUACUGCUAGUCUUGAGUAUGGUUGAGGUGAGCGGAAUGUGUCAUGUAGCGGUGAAAUGCUUAGAUAUGACCCAGAACACCAAUUGCGAAGGCAGCUCGCUAAGCCAUAACUGACGCUGAGGCACGAAAGCGUGGGGAGCAAACAGG
RNAcentral lists this ribosomal RNA (253 nucleotides) under uncultured bacterium. RNAcentral's name for it is "partial 16S ribosomal RNA". It matches the Rfam family "Bacterial small subunit ribosomal RNA", at positions 524 to 776 of the family's 1533-position model. The record is from RNAcentral.